UUCCGUAUGAAAUUAAUCCUGUGCUUUCAGUGUGGCUUGUUUAUGUUUUCUGGAGAAGUACAAGAGUGCUCUGGAACAGCAAGAGCAUGCCAUAGGAAGAAGGAAAACCUGACAGAGGUUUUUGUUCUGUCUCAGUGCCUGGAUUCAAAUCCCCCACUUUCCUGAUUCUUUCUGCACUAUUCAGAGAUGAGCAGACUUUGAUUCCUGCAAGGACAUUCCCAGCAGGCUACAGCGCUCUGGAGGAAGAAGAGAGGGGUGUCCCACACCCACAGCCCUUCUCCAGAUGUAUUUCCACAGUGAUCCAGUGGAGCCACAUCUCCUUUCUCAGCGCUGCCAGUGUAAUGCUUUCUGCCGGCUUCAGCAGGCUCUGGGACAGAUUCUUAGUGCAUGUGAGCAGCAGCCCAGUAGGAAAAAAAAAAAAAAAAAAGAACUGUAUUGUGCCAGGGAUCUAUUUGAAGUUGAAUUAUGCAGCAUGUAAAACUGAUGGAAAUCAAAACACAGAAGUGUCGCCCUGUGGUGAUGUCCUGCAGAAUUCCAGCCAGAGACAAGACCAUGAGUAGAUUCUGUUUCAACAAGAGCAUUCAAGAAUAUUUUCUGCCACUGAAAUAGCCUGUAGUCUUCUGUGAUGACGAAUUUCUGCUGUACCAUGAAAGCACUGUGGAAGAGAGCCCUGCCAUCUAUGUAAAUACACUUAAAGAGCAGAAGAUCUUCUGCACUCUCUUUGUAGAUGUGAACGUGCUGUGUGUGCAAGGCAGAAGGUUGUGACAUGUCAUAAACUUCUCUAAUUUCUGCGGUCUUUUUACAGUCAUGAAUAGCAGUCAAUCUCUCUAAGCAACCCAUUCUGGAUUCUGGUUUAAAACCACUACAUAUUUGAAGUUAGAAACAAGAGAUAUUUUAGUAUUCUACCUCUUUCAACAUGUACUUUCUGUCUUGAUUUAAGUCCAAGAACUUAGUAAUAUGGUAGGCAGAAACUCACCUGUCAGAGAAGUUUACUUUUUUGGACAAAUGUCAUGCUAGAAAUCAUGGGAUGAUUUCAGAUAUUUUCAUCAUUAAAAGAAAUGUUGGAGUAAACCAUGGACAUGUGGACAUGAACUGAUGUGAAGUGAAUAGAUUGCAGACAAAAUUCUUCUCUCAUCUGGAGUAGAUUCAUUUGCUUCAGUGAAACAAUUCUGGAUUUCCAGUGAUGUAAUUUGGAACAGCAUCUGGCUUCAGAUACAUAAGAAGAUCUCCUUGUAAUGGUUUAUAUCACUGACUACUUACUGCAUGAUUUUGCUAUGCUUUUCGUAGUUCUUAUUAGCUACACAUAAUCGUUAGUCUUAAAUCUUUCUCGUGUUUCAUACAAGGCCAAUAAAAGCCUUGCAGAACGAGGAAAAUGUACAUUUCCUUCAGAUCACCACUGUGUAGCAUCUUUCAAAACUUAGUUAAAAUCACAGUCAACAAUUAUCUUCUCUUUUUAGUUUGGAUAUUACUUUAUGGAAUACAGGUGAAGGAAAAGCCUCUCAGUUCUGUCUGUUCUUCACAUAAAGCAAGUCGGUGCAACAAGUCAGAGACAUUUACUUGGCGAACAGCCUUCAAUUAGUGGGAUUUUUCCCAUAAGGACUCUUCCUCUAUUUGAGUAAAUGUAUGUUGUGUUGACAGACAUCCAUUCUAGUCACCUUCGCAUAGUUUCAUUAUUAUUUUCUUUUAAACAAAUAAAUACAGUGCAGGACCUGCCUUCUCUCAAACCUGUGGCCAAAUUCUGCUUCCAAACAUGACACCCAUUCAUCAUCAUACAGAAUGUAAAGGAGAGGUGGACUGAAAGUUACUCUUCCUCUGUCACUGUGUGGAUGUUUUAGUACAUCAUUCUUUUCACUACAAGGCUUUCAAAGUCACACUCUGAACAUGAGAACUGCAGGCAAUCUUCACUGCCUUCAGAAUCUGUUUUAAAUGUUUUAAACUUUUUAAUGCAAGAAGGCUUAAUAAAACUACAAGACAAUAGUGAAUACAUAUGUAAAUACGCUAAAUACGAUGAAGAAAUCAGCAUUUGCUAUUAUCCCACACAUUCUACAGUUGCAUUCUGUUGUAUAUUACAAAGCUGUAGCAUCUGAUUUCUUAAUGGUUAAGGCUGUACUUUGCAAAUAUGUUCAGAAAUAUCCACGCAGAUGUUUCUGUUUAAUCUUAUUACACUUGCUUUUCCAGCUUGGAAAUUUAAUUCCAGGAUCAUAAUUAAUAAUACAUAAUUAAUAAUUUCAUUUAGUCCGAGUGAUUACAAGGACUGUUGUGGUAGCCAAAAGCAAUAUUUGUGUCAUUUGCCUUUCAUUGAACUUCUAAGGUAGUGACACUUGUUUUAAUAAAAGAUAAAUAUUACAGUUGAGUCUGUUUAUUUUUUCCAUUACAUCUGGAUUCUCUUUCUGGCUUUCCUUUAGGUAAAUUUUUUACAAAUCUUUUCUCAAAGAAAAUAUUAAUGAUAUACCAUUAUCUUUUUCUAAAAGGCAG
RNAcentral lists this long non-coding RNA (2475 nucleotides) under Gallus gallus (chicken). Its description in RNAcentral is "lncRNA (ENSGALG00010018861.1)". Lineage: Eukaryota; Metazoa; Chordata; Aves; Galliformes; Phasianidae. The record is from RNAcentral.